UACGGGGGGGGCAAGCGUUGUUCGGAAUUACUGGGCGUAAAGGGUCUGUAGGUGGCUUGCUAAGUCAGACGUGAAAUCCCUCAGCUUAACUGGGGAACUGCGUCUGAGACUGGCGAGCUUGAGGGCAGGAGAGGAACGCGGAAUUCCAGGUGUAGCGGUGAAAUGCGUAGAUAUCUGGAGGAACACCGGUGGCGAAGGCGGCGUUCUGGACUGCAACUGACACUGAGGAACGAAAGCCAGGGGAGCAAACGGG
This 253-nucleotide ribosomal RNA is filed under the name uncultured bacterium. RNAcentral's name for it is "partial 16S ribosomal RNA". It matches the Rfam family "Bacterial small subunit ribosomal RNA", at positions 524 to 776 of the family's 1533-position model. The record is from RNAcentral.